Molecule: long non-coding RNA, 247 nt
Filed under: Physcomitrium patens
Lineage: Eukaryota; Viridiplantae; Streptophyta; Bryopsida; Funariales; Funariaceae
Description: long non-coding RNA (PPAT_LNC008463)
Source: RNAcentral
UCUUCCUCCUCACAUAAUAUCUCCCAAAGAUCCAAUGACGCCAAAAGUAGCUUCAUUUUGGCCUUCCAGUGGUGAAAGUUGUCACCUCUAAACUUUUCUACCAUUCUUAAGCUAUCACUCUCAAAAGAUGCCAUCUCAAGCUACAAGUAGGUCCAAAAAUCUCUUGAUUUGGAGUUGUAAUGCAAAAGAUAUGACUACUCAAAGAUUGCUGAACUACAAACUCAGAAUUCGCUGUUUUGCAACUUUU